AAUACCGUUAGCAGAAAAUGCCAUCAGUGAGCAGCCAACAAGAGCACUAAAUAUGAAUGAAAAUAAACAACAAAUGAACAUGGCUGCUGGUUGAUUACAGGAAGUAAAAGACAAUCUGGAUCUGAAUAAGCUGCAGCGUAUAUAUGAGUGAGUGAUUAGCUGAUUGAGCACAGCUGUGUCAUAUAAUUGACAGGAAACGGAACAAAGGGCAGAAGUAUGAUGAACUAAAGCGCACGACGAACAACAUUUACAAAGUAGAACAGACAGUGACAGAAGAAGAGAGUCAGAGCCAUGACUCCUGACAAUGAAUAAAGUCUCUUCUUAUCUCAUUUUAUCAGCUGGCAGAGGUUUGCAGAAGCUCCUCUUCUUUGAUUGCCAGACCACAGAUUUAAAAACCUCAGGUCACUGAGUCUACAGAAAAGAUUAUUUAAAAGACUGGCUCCUCCCCCAACGGCAACAACGGGAACCCCCGUCUGGGCAGAGACGAACUCCAGCAUCGGGGCCAGAGGGGCGCGGUUCGGCGGUGGCGGUCUCUCUUCCUCAAACACUAAACCCUGGAAGUAAAACAAAGUGGUGUUGUGGCCAGCAGCUCACACAGCUGCAGCAGCAGGGUCCCGGGACUGCUCUCAUUCACAGCCAGGUAGAUGACGUUGGCCUGACCCGAGGGCGUCAUCACCGUCUCCCCCACGAGCGCGGCCAGCGACAGGUGUGACGAGGAGGAAAACGAAGCCAUCUCGGCCACUUCAGCUAAUGAAGCUGUCUCUGUUACUCCCCUUCCUCCCCCUCCUCCCCCUCCUCCCGGACCGUUUCCCAGACCGGGCCCCGGCUCCCCGACCCC
This is a long non-coding RNA of Oreochromis aureus, 838 nucleotides long. NCBI's taxonomy places the organism in Eukaryota, Metazoa, Chordata, Actinopteri, Cichliformes, Cichlidae. The record is from Ensembl.